Molecule: long non-coding RNA, 764 nt
Organism: Tachysurus vachellii
Lineage: Eukaryota; Metazoa; Chordata; Actinopteri; Siluriformes; Bagridae
Exons: 3
Source: RefSeq, a predicted model, not a curated record
GAAUGGGUUGAAUUCUUGGAAGCUCAUGAUGUGAAACUUCUUAUCACUGAGAAAAAUGCCAAGCAGAUCUUACUUGAUGUGGCACACAAAGAAAUUGUGCAAGAUCCAGCUUACAUAGCAGAAUGUUGGAGUCCGGUGUUGAAAAAACUGAAACUACCUCCAGGGGGACUAAAUGAAUUGAUGAUGAGCCUUACUCCAACAGCAAGAAAAGUUAUAGCCAUAUUACAACAUGAAACACUUAAUAACAGAGAAUGCCAGGUCAUGGAUUAUCUUAAGAGGUUCAUCAAGCACUGUAGUGAUGUUCGGCUCAGGAAAUUUCUGCGUUUCUGCACAGGAGCUGACCUCCUUUUUGCAAGGUUUAUUCAUGUCCGAUUUGUGCAGCCACAAACGUCCUUCACAAGAUCUUCCCAGUCCCACACCUGUGGAUGUGUGUUAGAAGUUCCAAACAAUUAUACUUGAUACCCUGAGCUUGCAGAGGAGUUCAUAAACAUCCUUGAUGCAAACAUAUGGGUGAUGGAUAUUGUGUAAAGGUGGUCAGACAGUAUGUGAAGCAGGAUAUGACUGUUUCUUUGUAUCAUUCACAGUCUCCAUCUCACACACAGUUUCCUGACAAACUUUUUAUCCUGCACAAGAUAAUGUUUCAUAAAAGCUCAGAUGUUCUUACAGCAGUGUUACAAUGUGAUAUAUGUGUUUCAAAGCGCAUACAGGUUCACAUUCAGUUUAAAUGUACUUAUGUUUUCAGAAUUUAUACUGCCUAAAUAGUA